UACGUAGGGUGCGAGCGUUACUCGGAAUUACUGGGCGUAAAGCGUGCGCAGGCGGUUCGUUGUGUCUGAUGUGAAAGCCCCGGGCUCAACCUGGGAAUGGCAUUGGAAACUGGCGAGCUAGAGUGUGGCAGAGGGGGGUGGAAUUCCGCGUGUAGCAGUGAAAUGCGUAGAGAUGUGGAGGAAUACCGAUGGCGAAGGCAGCCCCCUGGGCCAAUACUGACGCUCAUGCACGAAAGCGUGGGGAGCAAACAGG
This 253-nucleotide ribosomal RNA is filed under the name uncultured bacterium. RNAcentral describes it as "partial 16S ribosomal RNA". It matches the Rfam family "Bacterial small subunit ribosomal RNA", at positions 524 to 776 of the family's 1533-position model. The record is from RNAcentral.